GAUGAAGAACGCAGCGAAAUGCGAUAAGUAGUGUGAAUUGCAGAAUUCAGUGAAUCAUCGAAUCUUUGAACGCACAUUGCGCCCCUCGGUAUCCCGAGGGGCAUGCCUGUUCGAGCGUCAUUUCACCACUCAAGCCUGGCUUGGUGUUGGGCGACGUCCUCUUUGGGGACGCGCCUCGAAACGCUCGGCGGCGUGGCACCGGCUUUAAGCGUAGCAGAAUCUUUCGCUUUGGAAGUCGGGGCCCCGUCUGCCGGAAGACCUGCUCGCAAGGUUGACCUCGGAUCAGGCAGGGAUACCCGCUGAACUUAAGCAUAUCAAUAAGCGGAGGA
RNAcentral lists this unclassified non-coding RNA (329 nucleotides) under soil metagenome. Its description in RNAcentral is "partial contains 5.8S ribosomal RNA, internal transcribed spacer 2, and large subunit ribosomal RNA". The stretch from base 1 to 120 matches the Rfam family "5.8S ribosomal RNA", at positions 35 to 154 of the family's 154-position model. The record is from RNAcentral.